RNAcentral lists this ribosomal RNA (586 nucleotides) under uncultured bacterium. Its description in RNAcentral is "bacterial SSU rRNA". It matches the Rfam family "Bacterial small subunit ribosomal RNA", at positions 338 to 916 of the family's 1533-position model. The record is from RNAcentral.
CCUACGGGAGGCAGCAGUGGGGAAUAUUGCACAAUGGGGGAAACCCUGAUGCAGCCAUGCCGCGUGUGUGAAGAAGGCCUUCGGGUUGUAAAGCACUUUCAGUUGUGAGGAAAGUUUAGUAGUUAAUACCUGCUAGAUGUGACGUUAGCAACAGAAGAAGCACCGGCUAACUCCGUGCCAGCAGCCGCGGUAAUACGGAGGGUGCGAGCGUUAAUCGGAAUUACUGGGCGUAAAGCGCACGCAGGCGGUCUGUUAAGCUAGAUGUGAAAGCCCCGCGCUCAACGUGGGAGGGUCAUUUAGAACUGGCAGACUAGAGUCUUGGAGAGGGGAGUGGAAUUCCAGGUGUAGCGGUGAAAUGCGUAGAGAUCUGGAGGAACAUCAAUGGCGAAGGCAACUCCCUGGCCAAAGACUGACGCUCAUGUGCGAAAGUGUGGGUAGCGAACAGGAUUAGAUACCCUGGUAGUCCACACCGUAAACGCUGUCUACUAGCUGUUUGUGAAUUUAAUUCGUGAGUAGCGAAGCUAACGCAAUAAGUAGACCGCCUGGGGAGUACGGCCGCAAGGUUAAAACUCAAAGGAAUUGACGG